CCUACGGGUGGCAGCAGUGGGGAAUAUUGGGCAAUGGGCGCAAGCCUGACCCAGCAACGCCGCGUGAAGGAAGAAGGCCCUCGGGUUGUAAACUUCUUUUAUCAAGGACGAAACAAAUGACGGUACUUCAUGUAUAAGUCUCGGCUAAGUAUGUGCCAGCAGCCGCGGUAAUACGUAGGUGGCAAGCGUUAUCCGGAUUUACUGGGUGUAAAGGGCGUGUAGGCGGGACUGCAAGUCAGAUGUGAAAACGAUGGGCUCAACCCAUGGACUGCAUUUGAAACUGUAGUUCUUGAGUGUUGGAGAGGCAGGCGGAAGUCCGUGGGGAGCGGUGAAAUGCGUAGAUAUACGGAGGAACACCAGUGGCGAAGGCGGCCUGCUGGACAAUAACUGACGCUGAGGCGCGAAAGCGUGGGGAGCAAACAGGAUUAGAUACCCUUGUAGUC
Molecule: ribosomal RNA, 443 nt
Filed under: uncultured bacterium
Lineage: Bacteria
Description: partial 16S ribosomal RNA
Rfam family: Bacterial small subunit ribosomal RNA
Source: RNAcentral